This 74-nucleotide transfer RNA is filed under the name Deltaproteobacteria bacterium. RNAcentral describes it as "tRNA-Arg". It matches the Rfam family "tRNA". Rfam says of the family: Transfer RNA (tRNA) molecules are approximately 80 nucleotides in length. Their secondary structure includes four short double-helical elements and three loops (D, anti-codon, and T loops). The record is from RNAcentral. Lineage: Bacteria; Pseudomonadati; Myxococcota; Myxococcia.
GCAUUGGUAGCUCAAUUGGAUAGAGCAUCGGCCUACGAAGCCGGAGGUUAAAGGUUCGAGUCCUUUCCAGUGCA